CUGGCGGCGUGCUUAACACAUGCAAGUCGAACGAUGAAGCCGGAGCUUGCUCCGGUGGAUUAGUGGCGAACGGGUGAGUAACACGUGAGCAAUCUGCCCUUGACUCUGGGAUAACUGCGGGAAACUGUAGCUAAUACCGGAUACGACACCUUGGGGCAUCCCAGGGUGUGGAAAGAAUUUCGGUCAAGGAUGAGCUCGCGGCCUAUCAGCUAGUUGGUGAGGUAAUGGCUCACCAAGGCGACGAUCAGUAGCUGGUCUGAGAGGACGAUCAGCCACACUGGGACUGAGACACGGUCCAGACUCCUACGGGAGGCAGCAGUGGGGAAUUUUCCGCAAUGGGCGAAAGCCUGACGGAGCAAUCUCGCGUGGGGGAUGACGGCCUAUGGGUUGUAAACCUCUUUUUUCAGGGAGGAACAAAAUGACGUGUACCUGAAGAAUAAGCAUCGGCUAACUCCGUG
Molecule: ribosomal RNA, 458 nt
Filed under: uncultured bacterium
Lineage: Bacteria
Description: bacterial SSU rRNA
Rfam family: Bacterial small subunit ribosomal RNA
Source: RNAcentral